Molecule: ribosomal RNA, 767 nt
Filed under: Paracaryophyllaeus sp. 1 AW-2014
Lineage: Eukaryota; Metazoa; Platyhelminthes; Cestoda; Caryophyllidea; Caryophyllaeidae
Description: partial 16S ribosomal RNA
Rfam family: Bacterial large subunit ribosomal RNA (bases 550-767)
Source: RNAcentral
AACACCAGAUCUCUCAGUACAUUGUUUAGCACGUGUAGUGGGUUAUUAAAAAAANGNNCUNAGUGAGGCGAUAAGUUAGACGUUGGUUUUUAUAGNNGUUUUAUGGGGAGAUUUUUCUACUUAGUGUCCGGGUGAUGAGAUCCGGACACGUACUAUAUCUUAAAUUAUUUAAAUUUUUACUAGGGUUAAGGUUACUCGUGUAUUAAAGAGUGUGUUAUUACUCUAACUAUUUAUUUGUCAGAUUAGUGUAGAUUACCCAUAUUUAUAUAACUAUUUUAGUUUAUUUAUGGUUUAAUUAGUAAUUAUAACAAAAAUAAUUUUUCUCGGGUUUAGCCCAACUGUUUAUUAAAAACAUUUUUGCUUAGUUGGGUUUGAGCAAUAAAACCUGCCCGGUGUUUAUAUUAACGGCCGCAGUAUUAUGACUGUGCGAAGGUAGCAUAAUUAAUUGCCCCAUAAUUGGGGGCUUGUCUGAAUGGUUUAAUGUGGUUAAAACUAAAAUUAUUUUUAUAUGUGAAUUUAAUUUUGUGAGUACGGAAUCUACAUAAUUGAGUUAGACGGAAAGACCCCAGGAUCUUUCAAUUUUGUCUGGGGCAGAUUGCGGUGUUUUACUGCAUUUGUGACCCUCUGGUUAGAGAUUUAAGUUACCCUGGGGAUAACAGAGUAAUAAUUUAUUAGAGACCAUAUCGAUUAAAUUGUUUGCUACCUCGAUGUUGACUUGNNNUAAUUUAAUGGCGCAGUAGUUAUUAAAUGUGGUCUGUUCGACCAAG